This 200-nucleotide ribosomal RNA is filed under the name uncultured bacterium. RNAcentral's name for it is "partial 16S ribosomal RNA". It matches the Rfam family "Bacterial small subunit ribosomal RNA", at positions 29 to 256 of the family's 1533-position model. The record is from RNAcentral.
AACGAACGCUGGCGGCAUGCCUAACACUUGCAAGUCGAACGAGACCUUCGGGUCUAGCGGCGCACGGGUGCGUAACGCGUGGGAAUCUGCCCUUGGGUACGGAAUAACAGUUAGAAAUGACUGCUAAUACCGUAUAAUGACUUCGGUCCAAAGAUUUAUCGCCCAGGGAUGAGCCCGCGUAGGAUUAGCUUGUUGGUGAG